GGGUGCAAGCGUUGUUCGGAAUUACUGGGCGUAAAGCGAGCGUAGGCGGUUUCCUAAGUCAGGUGUGAAAGCCCCGGGCUCAACCCGGGAAGUGCACUUGAAACUGGGAGGCUAGAGUAUCGGAGAGGUUGGUGGAAUUCUCGGUGUAGAGGUGAAAUUCGUAGAUAUCGAGAGGAACACCGGUGGCGAAGGCGGCCUGCUGGGCAGUUACUGACACUGAUGCGCGACAGCGUGGGGAGCAAACAGG
This 247-nucleotide ribosomal RNA is filed under the name uncultured bacterium. RNAcentral describes it as "partial 16S ribosomal RNA". It matches the Rfam family "Bacterial small subunit ribosomal RNA", at positions 530 to 776 of the family's 1533-position model. The record is from RNAcentral.